RNAcentral lists this ribosomal RNA (450 nucleotides) under uncultured bacterium. Its description in RNAcentral is "partial 16S ribosomal RNA". It matches the Rfam family "Bacterial small subunit ribosomal RNA", at positions 354 to 796 of the family's 1533-position model. The record is from RNAcentral.
GUGGGGAAUAUUGGACAAUGGGCGCAAGCCUGAUCCAGCCAUGCCGCGUGUGUGAAGAAGGCCUUCGGGUUGUAAAGCACUUUUGUUGGGAAAGAAAUCCUGUCGGCUAAUACCCGGCGGGGAUGACGGUACCCAAAGAAUAAGCACCGGCUAACUUCGUGCCAGCAGCCGCGGUAAUACGAAGGGUGCAAGCGUUACUCGGAAUUACUGGGCGUAAAGCGUGCGUAGGUGGUUCGUUAAGUCAGAUGUGAAAGCCCCGGGCGCAACCUGGGAAUUGCAUUUGAUACUGGCGGACUAGAGUGCGGUAGAGGAGAGUGGAAUUCCCGGUGUAGCAGUGAAAUGCGUAGAGAUCGGGAGGAACAUCAGUUGCGAAGGCGGCUCUCUGGACCAGCACUGACACUGAGGCACGAAAGCGUGGGGAGCAAACAGGAUUAGAUACCCUUGUAGUCC